RNAcentral lists this ribosomal RNA (406 nucleotides) under uncultured bacterium. RNAcentral's name for it is "partial 16S ribosomal RNA". It matches the Rfam family "Bacterial small subunit ribosomal RNA", at positions 30 to 526 of the family's 1533-position model. The record is from RNAcentral.
AUUGAACGCUGGCGGCAGGCUUAACACAUGCAAGUCGAGCGAGCGGCGGACGGGUGAGUAAUGUCUGGGAAACUGCCUGAUGGAGGGGGAUAACUACUGGAAACGGUAGCUAAUACCGCAUACCAUCAGAUGUGCCCAGAUGGGAUUAGCUAGUAGGUGGGGUAAUGGCUCACCUAGGCGACGAUCCCUAGCUGGUCUGAGAGGAUGACCAGCCACACUGGAACUGGGACACGGCCCAGACUCCUACGGGAGGCAGCAGUGGGGAAUAUUGCACAAUGGGCGCAAGCCUGAUGCAGCCAUGCCGCGUGUAUGAAGAAGGCCUUCGGGUUGUAAAGCACUUUCAGUCGGGAGGCGUUACUCACAGAAGAAGCACCGGCUAACUCCGUGCCAGCCGCCGCGGUAAUAC